RNAcentral lists this ribosomal RNA (459 nucleotides) under uncultured bacterium. RNAcentral's name for it is "partial 16S ribosomal RNA". It matches the Rfam family "Bacterial small subunit ribosomal RNA", at positions 338 to 795 of the family's 1533-position model. The record is from RNAcentral.
CCUACGGGGCGCAGCAGUGAGGAAUAUUGGUCAAUGGGCGAGAGCCUGAACCAGCCAAGUCGCGUGAAGGAUGAAGGAUCUAUGGUUUGUAAACUUCUUUUAUAUGGGAAUAAAGUGCGGAACGUGUUCCUUUUUGUAUGUACCAUAUGACUAAGCAUCGGCUAACUCCGUCCCAGCAGCCGCGGUAAUACGGGGGAUGCGAGCGUUAUCCGGAUUUAUUGGGUUUAAAGGGUGCGUAGGUGGUUAAUUAAGUCAGCGGUAAAAGUUUGUGGCUCAACCAUAAAAUUGCCGUUGAAACUGGGUGACGUGAGUAUAGUUGAGGUAGGUGGAAUGCGUGGUGUAGCGGUGAAAUGCAUAGAUAUCACGCAGAACUCCGAUUGCGAAGGCAGCUACUAAACUAUAACUGACACUGAAGCACGAAAGCGUGGGGAUCAAACAGGAUUAGAUACCCCAGUAGUC